AUUGAACGCUAGCGGGAUGCCUUACACAUGCAAGUCGAACGGCAGCACGGACUUCGGUCUGGUGGCGAGUGGCGAACGGGUGAGUAAUGUAUCGGAACGUGCCUAGUAGCGGGGGAUAACUACGCGAAAGCGUAGCUAAUACCGCAUACGCCCUACGGGGGAAAGCAGGGGAUCGCAAGACCUUGCACUAUUAGAGCGGCCGAUAUCGGAUUAGCUAGUUGGUGGGGUAACGGCUCACCAAGGCGACGAUCCGUAGCUGGUUUGAGAGGACGACCAGCCACACUGGGACUGAGACACGGCCCAGACUCCUACGGGAGGCAGCAGUGGGGAAUUUUGGACAAUGGGGGAAACCCUGAUCCAGCCAUCCCGCGUGUGCGAUGAAGGCCUUCGGGUUGUAAAGCACUUUUGGCAGGAAAGAAACGUCAUGGGCUAAUACCCCGUGAAACUGACGGACCUGCAGAAUAAGCC
RNAcentral lists this ribosomal RNA (468 nucleotides) under Alcaligenaceae bacterium BTRH69. RNAcentral's name for it is "bacterial SSU rRNA". It matches the Rfam family "Bacterial small subunit ribosomal RNA", at positions 30 to 492 of the family's 1533-position model. Lineage: Bacteria; Pseudomonadati; Pseudomonadota; Betaproteobacteria; Burkholderiales; Alcaligenaceae. The record is from RNAcentral.